UAUUGCCUACGGGGGGCAGCAGUGAGGAAUAUUGGACAAUGGGCGGGAGCCUGAACCAGCCACGCCGCGUGAGAGAAGAAGGUACAGCGUAUCGUAAACCUCUUUUGUCAGGGAACAAAGGCGGGGACUAGUCCCCGGAUGAGGGUACCUGAAGAAAAAGCAUCGGCUAACUCCGGGCCAGCAGCCGCGGUAAUCCGGAGGAUGCGAGCGUUAUCCGGAUUUAUUGGGUUGAAAGGGUGCGCAGGCGGCGUGAUAAGUCAGCGGUAAAAGCCCGGGGCUCAACCCCG
This 287-nucleotide ribosomal RNA is filed under the name uncultured bacterium. RNAcentral's name for it is "partial 16S ribosomal RNA". It matches the Rfam family "Bacterial small subunit ribosomal RNA", at positions 333 to 617 of the family's 1533-position model. The record is from RNAcentral.